This 253-nucleotide ribosomal RNA is filed under the name uncultured prokaryote. RNAcentral's name for it is "partial 16S ribosomal RNA". It matches the Rfam family "Bacterial small subunit ribosomal RNA", at positions 524 to 776 of the family's 1533-position model. The record is from RNAcentral.
UACGAAGGGGGCUAGCGUUGCUCGGAAUCACUGGGCGUAAAGGGUGCGUAGGCGGCCCGUUAAGUCAGUGGUGAAAGCCUCCAGCUCAACUGGAGAACUGCCAUUGAUACUGACGGGCUUGAGUACAGACGAGGUAGGCGGAAUUGAUUGUGUAGCGGUGAAAUGCAUAGAUACAAUCAAGAACACCGAUUGCGUAGGCAGCUUACUAGGCUGUAACUGACGCUGAGGCACGAAAGCGUGGGGAGCGAACAGG